RNAcentral lists this transfer RNA (73 nucleotides) under Felis catus (domestic cat). It matches the Rfam family "tRNA". Rfam says of the family: Transfer RNA (tRNA) molecules are approximately 80 nucleotides in length. Their secondary structure includes four short double-helical elements and three loops (D, anti-codon, and T loops). Lineage: Eukaryota; Metazoa; Chordata; Mammalia; Carnivora; Felidae. RNAcentral also lists the same sequence under 6 other names. The record is from Rfam by way of RNAcentral.
GCCUGGCUGGCUCAGCUGGUGGAGCAUGUGGCUCUUGAUCUCCAGGCUGUGAGUUCAAGCCUCACAUUGGGUG